AAGAUAUUGCACUUUUGUACCAACAAGUUACUCUCCUGUAAAUUGAAAAAUAGCCACAAAAUACAAAAUGAUGACACCACUAUACUUGUAUGAGAUGAACUGGGCUCUUUAAUUUAGCAGAAAGAUGUGACACAUAGCUUGCUGAUUUGCAUGUCCCUAGGGCGCAGCCAUCUACCCUGCACACUUAUGAGUAUUCUCUUCACACCCUGUGCGGGAGUCAGUUCCAGUCAAGACACAGCAUGGACAUGAGGGCCCCUGCUCAGCUCCUGGGGCUCCUGUAGCUCUGGCUCCCAGGUGCCAGAUGUGCUGUUCAGAUCACCCAGUCGCCAUCCUAGGUGUCUGCAGAUGUAGGAGGCACAGCCACCAUCAAUUGCCAGUCAAGUCAGAGUGUUUACAACAACAAUUAUCUAUACUGGUAUCAGCAGAAACCAGGGCAACCUCCAAAGCUCCUGAUCUAUGAUGCAUCCAAGUUAGCAUCUGGGGUCCCUGACAGGUUCAAGGGCAGUGGAUCUGGGACAUCAUUCACUCUCACCAUCAGCGGGGUGCAGGCUGAGGAUGUAGAAAUCUA
Long non-coding RNA from Ochotona princeps (American pika), 568 nucleotides. RefSeq lists it as uncharacterized. The record is from RefSeq and is a predicted model, not a curated record. The transcript is spliced from 2 exons. NCBI's taxonomy places the organism in Eukaryota, Metazoa, Chordata, Mammalia, Lagomorpha, Ochotonidae.